UGGGGAAUAUUGCACAAUGGGCGCAAGCCUGAUGCAGCGACGCCGCGUGAAGGAUGAAGGUCUUCGGAUUGUAAACUUCUAUCAGCAGGGAGGAACCAAUGACGGUACCUGACUAAGAAGCCCCGGCUAACUACGUGCCAGCAGCCGCGGUAAUACGUAGGGGGCAAGCGUUAUCCGGAAUUACUGGGUGUAAAGGGUGCGUAGGUGGCAUGGUAAGUCAGAUGUGAAAACUUGGGGCUCAACUUCAAGAUUGCAGCUGAAACUGCUAAGCUAGAGUGCAGGAGAGGAAAGCGGAAUUCCGAGUGUAGCGGUGAAAUGCGUAGAGAUUCGGAGGAACACCAGUAGCGAAGGCGGCUUUCUGGACUGUAACUGACACUGAGGCACGAAAGCGUGGGGAGCGAACA
This 404-nucleotide ribosomal RNA is filed under the name uncultured prokaryote. RNAcentral's name for it is "bacterial SSU rRNA". It matches the Rfam family "Bacterial small subunit ribosomal RNA", at positions 355 to 774 of the family's 1533-position model. The record is from RNAcentral.